This 2674-nucleotide ribosomal RNA is filed under the name Clostridium perfringens. RNAcentral describes it as "partial 23S ribosomal RNA". It matches the Rfam family "Bacterial large subunit ribosomal RNA". Lineage: Bacteria; Bacillati; Bacillota; Clostridia; Eubacteriales; Clostridiaceae. The record is from RNAcentral.
GGUCAAGCUACAAAGGGCGCAUGGUGAAGAGCCGAUGAAGGACGUGAUAAGCUGCGAUAAGCUUCGGGUAGGCGCACAUAGCCUGAGAUCCGAAGAUCUCCGAAUGAGGAAACUCACAUGGGAAACCCCAUGUAUCAUUAAGUGAAUACAUAGCUUAAUGAAGGUAACCCAGGGAACUGAAACAUCUAAGUACCUGGAGGAAGAGAAAGAAAAAUCGAUUUUCUUAGUAGCGGCGAGCGAAAGGGAAAGAGCCCAAACCGGAAACUUGUUUCCGGGGUUGUGGACAUAACAUAAAAGUGGAGGCUAUUGUAACUGAAGAGAACUGGAAAGUUCCACCGUAGAAGGUAAUAGUCCUGUAAGUGAAACGAGAAGACCACGAGUUAUGAUCCAGAGUACCACGAGACACGUGAAACCUUGUGGGAAGCAGGGAGGACCACCUCCCAAGGCUAAAUACUACCUGAUGACCGAUAGUGAAGCAGUACCGUGAGGGAAAGGUGAAAAGAACCCCGGGAGGGGAGUGAAAUAGAACCUGAAACCGUGUGCCUACAACCGCUCAGAGCCCCUUAUGAGGGUGAUGAGGUGCUUUUUGUAGAACGAGCCAACGAGUUACGGUAUGUAGCAAGGUUAAGUACUUAAGGUACGGAGCCGAAGGGAAACCGAGUCUGAAUAGGGCGACUAGUUGCAUGCCGUAGACCCGAAACCGGGUGACCUAUCCAUGGCCAGGUUGAAGCGAGGGUAAAACCUCGUGGAGGACCGAACCACGUUGCUGUUGAAAAAGCAUGGGAUGAGCUGUGGAUAGCGGAGAAAUUCCAAUCGAACCCGGAGAUAGCUGGUUCUCUCCGAAAUAGCUUUAGGGCUAGCGUCGAGUAUGAGUAGUGGAGGUAGAGCACUGAAUGGGCUAGGGGGCAUAGCGCUUACCGAACCUUAUCAAACUCCGAAUGCCACAUACUUUGAGCUCGGCAGUCAGACUACGAAUGAUAAGAUCCGUGGUCAAAAGGGAAACAGCCCAGAUCGUCAGCUAAGGUCCCAAAGUGUAAGUUAAGUGGGAAAGGAUGUGAGAUUUCUAAGACAACUAGGAUGUUGGCUUAGAAGCAGCCAUUCAUUAAAAGAGUGCGUAAUAGCUCACUAGUCGAGAGAUCUUGCGCCGAAAAUGUAACGGGGCUAAACUUACCACCGAAGCUACGGGCUUGAACUUAGUUCAAGCGGUAGGAGAGCGUCGUAACCGGGCUGAAGUCGUACCGUAAGGAGCGGUGGACUGGUUACGAGUGAGAAUGUUGGCAUCAGUAGCGAGAUGUGGGUGAGAAUCCCACAGGCCGAAAACCUAAGGUUUCCUCAGGAAGGUUCGUCCGCUGAGGGUUAGUCGGGACCUAAGCCGAGGCCGAAAGGCGUAGGUGAUGGACAACUGGUUGAUAUUCCAGUACCACUACCAUCGUUAUUAUCGAUGGCGUGACGCAGGAGGAUAGUGUGUGCUAGCUAUUGGAUGCUAGUCUAAGCGUUUAGGCAGUGAGAGUAGGCAAAUCCGCUCUCAUAAUGCUGAGGCGUGAUGGGGAAGGUUCUACGGAACCGAAGUACAUGAUUCCACGCUGCCAAGAAAAGCGUCUAGAGAGAGAAGUAGUGCCCGUACCGCAAACCGACACAGGUAGGUGAGGAGAGAAUCCUAAGGCCGGCGGAAGAAUUACAGUUAAGGAACUCGGCAAAUUGACCCCGUAAGUUCGCGAGAAGGGGUGCCUACGAGAGUAGGCCGCAGAGAAUAGGCCCAAGCAACUGUUUAGCAAAAACACAGGUCUCUGCUAAAGCGUAAGCUGAUGUAUAGGGGCUGACGCCUGCCCGGUGCUGGAAGGUUAAGGGGAACACUUAGCGCAAGCGAAGGUGUGAACUUAAGCCCCAGUAAACGGCGGCCGUAACUAUAACGGUCCUAAGGUAGCGAAAUUCCUUGUCAGGUAAGUUCUGACCCGCACGAAUGGCGUAAUGACUUGGGCACUGUCUCAACUGUAAAUCCGGCGAAGUUGUAGUGCGAGUGAAGAUGCUCGCUACCCGCGAUUGGACGGAAAGACCCCGUAGAGCUUUACUGUAGCUUAGCAUUGAGUUUUGGUAUUGUCUGUACAGGAUAGGUGGGAGACUAGGAAACCAGGGCGUCAGCCUUGGUGGAGUCAACCUUGGGAUACCACCCUGACAGUACUGAAAUUCUAACUGGCGGCCAUGAAUCUGGUCACAGGACAUUGUUAGGUGGGCAGUUUGACUGGGGCGGUCGCCUCCUAAAAAGUAACGGAGGCGCCCAAAGGUUCCCUCAGAACGGUCGGAAAUCGUUCGAAGAGUGCAAAGGCAGAAGGGAGCCUGACUGCGACACCCACAAGUGGAGCAGGGACGAAAGUCGGGCUUAGUGAUCCGGUGGUACCUCGUGGGAGGGCCAUCGCUCAACGGAUAAAAGCUACCUCGGGGAUAACAGGCUGAUCUCCCCCAAGAGUCCACAUCGACGGGGAGGUUUGGCACCUCGAUGUCGGCUCGUCGCAUCCUGGGGCUGAAGUAGGUCCCAAGGGUUGGGCUGUUCGCCCAUUAAAGCGGCACGCGAGCUGGGUUCAGAACGUCGUGAGACAGUUCGGUCCCUAUCCGUCGCGGGCGUAGGAAAUUUGAGAGGAGCUGUCCUUAGUACGAGAGGACCGGGAUGGACUGACCU